RNAcentral lists this ribosomal RNA (252 nucleotides) under uncultured bacterium. RNAcentral's name for it is "partial small subunit ribosomal RNA". It matches the Rfam family "Bacterial small subunit ribosomal RNA", at positions 26 to 285 of the family's 1533-position model. The record is from RNAcentral.
AGGACGAACGCUGGCGGCGUGCUUAACACAUGCAAGUCGAGCGGAAAGGCCCUUCGGGGUACUCGAGCGGCGAACGGGUGAGUAACACGUGAGUAAUCUGCCCCUAGCUCUGGGAUAGCUCCGGGAAACCGGGAUUAAUACCGGAUACGACCACCUUAGACAUCUUUUGUGGUGGAAAGAAUUUCGGCUAGGGAUGAGCUCGCGGCCUAUCAGCUUGUUGGUGGGGUAACGCCUACCAAGGCGACGACGGUA